CCUACGGGAGGCAGCAGUGGGGAAUAUUGGACAAUGGGGGCAACCCUGAUCCAGCCAUGCCGCGUGUGUGAAGAAGGCCCUCGGGUUGUAAAGCACUUUCAGUGAGGAAGAACGCCUGGUGGUUAAUACCCAUCAGGAAAGACAUCACUCACAGAAGAAGCACCGGCUAACUCCGUGCCAGCAGCCGCGGUAAUACGGAGGGUGCGAGCGUUAAUCGGAAUUACUGGGCGUAAAGCGCGCGUAGGUGGCUUGAUAAGCCGGUUGUGAAAGCCCCGGGCUCAACCUGGGAACGGCAUCCGGAGCUGUCAAGCUAGAGUGAAGGAGAGGAAGGUAGAAUUCCCGGUGUAGCGGUGAAAUGCGUAGAGAUCGGGAGGAAUACCAGUGGCGAAGGCGGCCUUCUGGACUGACACUGACACUGAGGUGCGAAAGCGUGGGUAGAAAACAGGAUUAGAUACCCCAGUAGUC
Molecule: ribosomal RNA, 465 nt
Filed under: Vreelandella stevensii
Lineage: Bacteria; Pseudomonadati; Pseudomonadota; Gammaproteobacteria; Oceanospirillales; Halomonadaceae
Description: partial 16S ribosomal RNA
Rfam family: Bacterial small subunit ribosomal RNA
Source: RNAcentral